This 465-nucleotide ribosomal RNA is filed under the name Vreelandella stevensii. RNAcentral describes it as "partial 16S ribosomal RNA". It matches the Rfam family "Bacterial small subunit ribosomal RNA", at positions 338 to 795 of the family's 1533-position model. Lineage: Bacteria; Pseudomonadati; Pseudomonadota; Gammaproteobacteria; Oceanospirillales; Halomonadaceae. The record is from RNAcentral.
CCUACGGGAGGCUGCAGUGGGGAAUAUUGGACAAUGGGGGGAACCCUGAUCCAGCCAUGCCGCGUGUGUGAAGAAGGCCCUCGGGUUGUAAAGCACUUUCAGUGAGGAAGAACGCCUGGUGGUUAAUACCCAUCAGGAAAGACAUCACUCACAGAAGAAGCACCGGCUAACUCCGUGCCAGCAGCCGCGGGAAUACGGAGGGUGCGAGCGUUAAUCGGAAUUACUGGGCGUAAAGCGCGCGUAGGUGGCUUGAUAAGCCGGUUGUGAAAGCCCCGGGCUCAACCUGGGAACGGCAUCCGGAACUGUCAAGCUAGAGUGCAGGAGAGGAAGGUAGAAUUCCCGGUGUAGCGGUGAAAUGCGUAGAGAUCGGGAGGAAUACCAGUGGCGAAGGCGGCCUUCUGGACUGACACUGACACUGAGGUGCGAAAGCGUGGGUAGCAAACAGGAUUAGAUACCCGUGUAGUC